UUUUCAGCUUAAUAUCUGAAAGUUCCCGCAAUGCGGGACCAGUAUAUUAAACUUAUUUUUUUAAACUGAUGCGGAGAUAGGGGCUUGCUCCACUCCCAUCGCGG
This 104-nucleotide small nuclear RNA is filed under the name Tischeria ekebladella. Its description in RNAcentral is "partial U2". It matches the Rfam family "U2 spliceosomal RNA", at positions 46 to 149 of the family's 192-position model. From Rfam's summary of the family: U2 is a small nuclear RNA (snRNA) component of the spliceosome (involved in pre-mRNA splicing). The record is from RNAcentral. Lineage: Eukaryota; Metazoa; Arthropoda; Insecta; Lepidoptera; Tischeriidae.